This 821-nucleotide long non-coding RNA is filed under the name Homo sapiens (human). RNAcentral describes it as "long non-coding RNA NONHSAT169799.1". Lineage: Eukaryota; Metazoa; Chordata; Mammalia; Primates; Hominidae. The record is from RNAcentral.
UCUGGCUGACCAGGGCAGUCACCAGAGCUCCAGACAAUGUCUGUCUCCUUCCUCAUCUUCCUGCCCGUGCUGGGCCUCCCAUGGGGUGUCCUGUCACAGGUACAGCUGCAGCAGUCAGGUCCAGGACUGGUGAAGCCCUCGCAGACCCUCUCACUCACCUGUGCCAUCUCCGGGGACAGUGUCUCUAGCAACAGUGCUGCUUGGAACUGGAUCAGGCAGUCCCCAUCGAGAGGCCUUGAGUGGCUGGGAAGGACAUACUACAGGUCCAAGUGGUAUAAUGAUUAUGCAGUAUCUGUGAAAAGUCGAAUAACCAUCAACCCAGACACAUCCAAGAACCAGUUCUCCCUGCAGCUGAACUCUGUGACUCCCGAGGACACGGCUGUGUAUUACUGUGCAAGAGACACAGUGAGGGGAAGUCAGUGUGAGCCCAGACACAAACCUCCCUGCAGGGAUGCUCAGGACCCCAGAAGGCACCCAGCACUACCAGCGCAGGGCCCAGACCAGGAGCAGGUGUGGAGUUAAGCAAAAAUGGAACUUCUUGCUGUGUCUUAAACUGUUGUUGUUUUUUUUUUUUUUUUGGCUCAGCAACAGAGAUCAUAGAAAACCCUUUUUCAUAUUUUUGAAAUCUGUUCUUAGUCUAAUGGAGAUUCUCUAAUAUGUGACAAUGUUUUUCUCUUGCUGUUUUUGGAAUUCUUUGUCUUUGACUUUUGACAACUUGACUUUUGACAGUGUGCCUCAAAGAAGUUCUAUUUUGGGUUCUGUGAACCUCCUGGAUCUGGGAAGUUUUCAGCUAUGAUUUCAUUAAACGUGUUUUCUACACC